UGUCUCGUGGGUACACACUGUUCUCUUACAUUUUUGUACAAUUGUACGUACUUAAUGAUAUUUAUUCACUUCUCCAACGCUUUAGGUCCGGAUUGAGAUGAAAUAUCGACUGGAUCAGCAUAAAAAGACAUCUCAGCACCAGAAGACCGUGACCAAGGCACGGUUAAAAACUUCACAGCAACCAUUGAUCUCAUUUUCGAAGCAUAUGGGCGACAAAUGAGUUCCAUCAAGAUGUUUGAGAGGCUUUAAUAAAAGCAAACAUCCCCUUGAAUAAGCUGGAGAAUGAAGGAUUAAAAACAUCCGUGAAAAAAUAAGCAGGAGAAGAUAUUCCUCACGAGUCAACGCUCAGAAAAAAGAAUGUGGAACCAUUGUACGGAAAGAUAUUGGGAAAUACUAGGAAAGACAUUGGCGAUUCUCCAGUCUGGCUAUCCGUUGACGAAACUACUGGUUCUUGCGGUCGGUAUAUGGUGCACGUGAAAACUGGAAAACUCUCUGCUGACGAGGCUGGACGAGACACCUCAUACUGUGCAAAGAAUUGUAACGAACGACACACGCCACAAUUGAACGCAUAGUGCAGGAAGUAUUGAGUGUGCUAUGAAGAAGUGAAGAUCAGAAAGGUGGGAGAACAGGGUUUUGGCCAUUGUGACGGAUAGCGUCGCAUAUAUGCAGAAGGCCGCAGAGCGUCUAUGGGUGUUUUACCCUAAAAUUAUUCACCUCACGUGUCUGGCUCAUGGCAACCAUUGAGUCGCUGUAGAUGUCAGAACCACACUGCCAGAGGUCAAGUGCCUUAUAUCUUUGGCAAAGAAGGGCACCAAGUCGAGUGAGAGCUUUCGAGACUGCUCACCCUGACUGUCCUCUGCCACCUGAACCAGUCUUGAGGAGGUGGGGAACGUGGAUUUUGUAGACAACCCCAGAAAAGUUGAAGAGGUAUGGAUACGUAUGUAGAUAUGGAUAAAUUGAAUAAGCAAAGAAAACGAACACAACAUAGAAUUCCAGUAUUAAGCUUAUUUCUCUGUACAGCAAGCAGUUUUCAGCUGGAAAACGACGUACAGUAGAUUACUACUUUCUUGUUCGAGGUCCUAAAGGCUUUGAAGAUAGCGAAAAUUUCGCCAUACGAAAAGCCAAAGACGCCUUGAAGAAUUUCAGCGUGUUACACAGCCUGUCUUUCAUCCGAGCGCAAUUGGGUGGUCUUCCAGACCUGAUUGAGACACUUAAGACUCGUAACUUGGAAGUUACGAAGACAGUGGCUCUCGUCGAAGGACUCAGGACACAGAGCAAGAGUUGGCCAGGUCCGAUCGGUAAGAGACUUAGAAGAAAACUGGAUGCAGUUCUUCACAGAAAUCCUGGUUCCUAUGGUUCGGAAGAUCGCUCAGCUGCUGGAAUGAGAGAAACGCUCCGACAAUCUAGAUGAUUUCACGUCGUUUGAUGUCGCUGCUCUUUAAUUUUUACCUUAAGUGUCAUGUGACGUUGAACUAUUAUUUUCAAGAUU
Long non-coding RNA from Schistocerca americana (American grasshopper), 1489 nucleotides. RefSeq lists it as uncharacterized. The record is from RefSeq and is a predicted model, not a curated record. NCBI's taxonomy places the organism in Eukaryota, Metazoa, Arthropoda, Insecta, Orthoptera, Acrididae. The transcript has 3 exons.